UUUGGUGACGAUAGCAAAGAGGAUACACCUGUUCCCAUCCCGAACACAGUAGUUAAGCUCUUUAGCGCCGAUGGUAGU
This 78-nucleotide ribosomal RNA is filed under the name Brochothrix thermosphacta. Lineage: Bacteria; Bacillati; Bacillota; Bacilli; Caryophanales; Listeriaceae. The record is from RNAcentral.